RNAcentral lists this ribosomal RNA (450 nucleotides) under uncultured bacterium. RNAcentral describes it as "partial 16S ribosomal RNA". It matches the Rfam family "Bacterial small subunit ribosomal RNA", at positions 354 to 796 of the family's 1533-position model. The record is from RNAcentral.
GUGGGGAAUAUUGCACAAUGGGCGCAAGCCUGAUGCAGCCAUGCCGCGUGUAUGAAGAAGGCCUUCGGGUUGUAAAGUACUUUCAGCGGGGAGGAAGGUGUUGUGGUUAAUAACCGCAGCAAUUGACGUUACCCGCAGAAGAAGCACCGGCUAACUCCGUGCCAGCAGCCGCGGUAAUACGGAGGGUGCAAGCGUUAAUCGGAAUUACUGGGCGUAAAGCGCACGCAGGCGGUCUGUCAAGUCGGAUGUGAAAUCCCCGGGCUCAACCUGGGAACUGCAUUCGAAACUGGCAGGCUAGAGUCUUGUAGAGGGGGGUAGAAUUCCAGGUGUAGCGGUGAAAUGCGUAGAGAUCUGGAGGAAUACCGGUGGCGAAGGCGGCCCCCUGGACAAAGACUGACGCUCAGGUGCGAAAGCGUGGGGAGCAAACAGGAUUAGAUACCCCGGUAGUCC